Molecule: non-coding RNA, 2647 nt
Organism: Chrysemys picta bellii (western painted turtle)
Lineage: Eukaryota; Metazoa; Chordata; Testudines; Emydidae
Source: RefSeq, a predicted model, not a curated record
UCAUUUGCAAUUGUUAUAACCACCUGCAGGGUUUCAAACACUUGAUGCUCUUUUACAUACUUGUUGGAUAAAACUUUUUUUUUGUUCCAUUCAGAAUUCAUGCUUUCAAAAACAAAAUGAGAAGAAAGGGCAACCACCCAAACAGAGAAUUCAAAGGACUUUAUAUGAAAACACACAGUAUAUUUCAUCUCUGCAAGUUAAAAUAGCCACUCCAGCCUCUCUGGUUUUUGGUACCAAUAGGAUGAAAGAAACCGGAGCCUGCUUUUUUGCAUGUGAUUCUAUUCAGGGAGAGGGGAAGUUCAGCUAGCAUAACACCAUGGAACCUCCUCCAUGCAAACUCUGCCCGCCCAUGCAUAUGAUUAGAGAUUCAUUUUCUUUAAUAUCAGCCCCCUGCAAAUCCACCGAAAUUAAGAAUGAUUAGUUACACAGAUUUCUGCUUCAUGUAAUUAACCAGCCCUCCAGGGGUUGGUGAUCAGGCCCAGCCAUGACCAGAGGAGCCCGUCAGCAACACUUAUGCUGAUGUGAGAACAAGUGGUGCCUGGGAAGUAGCUGAGACACACUGCUCCUCUGAGGAUGCCUCAAGAUGGCAAAAAUUGGCAGAGCAAUAAAUAAAGAAGACGACAAGGCAGCCAUACAGAAUGAUCUCAACGAUUUGAAUUCUAAAGAAAAACAAGUUAAGUGCUUCUGGCUGUAGACAGAACGAAGUACAUAAGCAUCUGGAAAAGUGAACGACAUCUGUGUCGCCAUGUACAAAGAAGCCAGUACAUUGCAGAUGAUAUGCUCUACAAUUUGCAAAGGAAGGGCUAACUGACAUGGUACUUAAAAUGCUGGUAGCUUGCCUACACUAAGGCUCUCUAGGUUGUUCCUUCUAGUGUUAACAAGUCUGAGAAAUGUUACAAAAUUUCCCUAGUGCAGAUAAGGCUUGAUUUUUAAAUUGGUGUCCCUUUAAAUUCUUGGAGAUAGCACAGCACUUGCAUUAAAAAAAUUGAACGAAGAAGUCAUUUAAAAGCCUCCUGCUUUCAGUCACAACACAUUGCAACAAACUGCAAAUCUGGUGUAAGAGUUAAAUCAAUAAUGAAUCCAAUCUGAAACAGUUUUGAAAUCAAAGGAAUUGCAUAGUUAAAUCAUGAACAGAGGGGCUAUGUAAAAAUGGUAGUUUUCUUACUCCACAGAUUUGUGCAUUGUGUGUAGCCUGAAUAACAUCUGCUCACUAUAUACUGGCAAAAGUGAUCACUACUUCCUCCUUACUCACUCCACUAUUAACUAUAUUGGCUGUGCAGUGAUAUGGGAGCAUCAGCUGGAUUCUACUCUGUUUCAUGCAUCAGAAUUAAAUCCAUUCCCAUUUCAGAAUUUUAAUACUGCUGACGAGCCAAAAAGUUCCAGCUGAACUUUCAAAACCUGGUUUGCAGGGCUGGCCAAACAUCAAUUAUUUUCAUUUGUAAGUUAACAAAUUUGUAACUGAUAACAUGGAAUAUCACAAUGCCAUUUUCAGAAAAACAUUUUUAAAACUGUAAUCAGCCUUGAAAGUUCCAUUAAUGCAUUUUUCCCCAUUUAAAACCAUAAAGAAUGUUUUAUCAUAGUCUCUUGCAAUGCACAUGGAAUGAAAUUAGACAAAUUAUCAGGUAGAAAACCAAGCUCCAUUGGGCUGCAGAAAGACUCUAGGCCCCAUUCCUUUUCACUUUCAAAUGGAGUAUUUGUACUGACAAUAAAUCCUUACUCAAAGACUUCACCUGAAGUCCUGGCCCCAGUGAGAUCAAUGGUAAAACUCACACUGACUGCAACUGGACCAGAAUUUCACAGAGAUUGGUAUUUUAGAACAAGUGAGGUCAUAAAUAUGUUAUAAAAAUAAAUAAGGGUCUGGCUUGCACCAUAGCUGCUGCAUUGCAGUAACAAGAUCUUCCUGAUCCUGUUCAGACCAGCUUCAGUUGGGGCCAAUAUCAAAACGCUUGCCCAGAUCUGGAGGAUAUGGGGCUCAGGGCAAAAUAGCAGUACAAUCAUAUCAUCGUUCCAGGUCGGAAAGGAAGAUUUAUACAAUGUCUUAGAUUUCAGUUUUAAAAGUAAAUUUCUGGUGAUUAGCUGACCUGGACAUUUCAUAACAGGAUUUCAUAGAGUCUGCGAGUUCUUGUGACAGAGCAUAUACUGAAUCUCUGUGUGGUACGUAAAACACAGCUAGAUUUGGAAGCAAAUAAAUUGUUUAACGAGUCUAAAAUCCCACAAGGCAUCUGACCAAUUUGCCUAAAUUUGCAUUCCACACCACAACGUAUUAUAGUAAUGUAAGUUUAACCAUACUGUCUGGAAAUCAAUGCUGUAAAGGAUCAAGAGACAGUUUCACUUACUGGAAAUAAGAGUGCAGCCAAAGUUGUUUCUGUGCAGUUUGUAUACUGUAUGGAAGAGAGCCACCAGCUCAAAAGAAAAAGAAACAACAUUAUAAACACUGGUAUUUGAUUUUUGAAAGACAUUUUGAAAACAGUCCAAAAAUACAUUCUCAGUAAAUAGUGAGGGGGUAGGAGAAUACAUUAGCUCCAUUUUCAUCUCAUAAAAUGUUCCUUUGAAAAACAAAUCAGAAGCCUCCUGUGAUACUAAAUGGUUUGUCUUGUCAGAAAGAAAAACCUUAACACAAAUCCCCAAACAUUAAGUAACCAAUUUA